UACGAAGGGGGCUAGCGUUGUUCGGAAUUACUGGGCGUAAAGGGCGCGUAGGCGGUCCUGAUCGUCGGAUGUGAAAGGCCUGGGCUCAACCUGGGAACUGCAUCCGAUACGGCGGGACUGGAGUGUGGGAGAGGUUGGUGGAAUUCCCAGUGUAGAGGUGAAAUUCGUAGAUAUUGGGAAGAACACCGGUGGCGAAGGCGGCCAACUGGACCACAACUGACGCUGAGGCGCGAAAGCUAGGGGAGCAAACGGG
RNAcentral lists this ribosomal RNA (253 nucleotides) under uncultured bacterium. RNAcentral describes it as "partial 16S ribosomal RNA". It matches the Rfam family "Bacterial small subunit ribosomal RNA", at positions 524 to 776 of the family's 1533-position model. The record is from RNAcentral.